AUUGAACGCUGGCGGAAUGCUUUACACAUGCAAGUCGAACGGCAGCACGGACUUCGGUCUGGUGGCGAGUGGCGAACGGGUGAGUAAUGUAUCGGAACGUGCCCAGUCGUGGGGGAUAACGUAGUGAAAAUUACGCUAAUACCGCAUACGAUCUAUGGAUGAAAGAGGGGGAUCGCAAGACUUCGCGCGAUUGGAACGGCCGAUAUCAGAUUAGGUAGUUGGUGGGGUAAAGGCCCACCAAGCCAACGAUCUGUAGCUGGUCUGAGAGGACGACCAGCCACACUGGAACUGAGACACGGUCCAGACUCCUACGGGAGGCAGCAGUGGGGAAUUUUGGACAAUGGGCGAAAGCCUGAUCCAGCCAUUCCGCGUGCAGGAUGAAGGCCCUCGGGUUGUAAACUGCUUUUGUACAGAACGAAAAGGUUUCUACUAAUACUAGGAGCUCAUGACGGUACUGUAAGAAUAAGCACCGGCUAACUACGUGCCAGCCGCCGCAGUAA
This 500-nucleotide ribosomal RNA is filed under the name uncultured bacterium. RNAcentral's name for it is "partial 16S ribosomal RNA". It matches the Rfam family "Bacterial small subunit ribosomal RNA", at positions 30 to 523 of the family's 1533-position model. The record is from RNAcentral.